UCAGGGUGUCAACGCCAUCGAGGCUGACGUCUCAUUUGCCCCGAACGGAACGGUGACGGACUUCUACCACGGUCCCGGCUGCGACAGUGGACGCGAGUGCGAAAGGCGAACCGACGCAGGCGUCUACUUCAACCAUGUCAAGCGCACUGUUAGCGCAGAAAACGGACGAAAUCGGGACAAAAUGCUACUGCUAUACGUUGACAUUAAACCGGGAAACCUGGCCGGAAAGAAGGAAAUGUAUGCAGGCGGCGUCAGCCUGGCACAGAAACUCAUGCUUCACCUUUGGAAUGAAGUUCCACCCAAUCGCAUGGUAAACGUUCUGCUGUCUGUCUACAGUUUAAAGGAAACGGAAGUUUUCAGGGGUGCGCUGCGUACGCUGUCUACGGCUGAAAACCACGC
Molecule: long non-coding RNA, 399 nt
Organism: Rhipicephalus microplus (southern cattle tick)
Lineage: Eukaryota; Metazoa; Arthropoda; Arachnida; Ixodida; Ixodidae
Source: RefSeq, a predicted model, not a curated record